Molecule: long non-coding RNA, 517 nt
Filed under: Rattus norvegicus (Norway rat)
Lineage: Eukaryota; Metazoa; Chordata; Mammalia; Rodentia; Muridae
Description: long non-coding RNA NONRATT009328
Source: RNAcentral
GGAAUACACUUGGAGCGUCAUCUCAGCGAGGUUGCCCUGCAGACGGCCCUUUCUUGUUCUUCUCGACACUAUGCUGGGAGAUCCUUCCAGAUUUUCAGGGCACUGAAGCAGCCCCUGUCUGCAAAUACACUCUCCGAUGUCCUCUCCAGGCUUGUGGAAACCGUAGGGGACCCAGGGGAGGACGCACAGGUAAGGUUCCUUCUGCCUCCUUUUAGGCACUUAUGAGCUGCUCCCAGGAGUGAGGGAUUUAUCCCUGAGGCCAGAUCCACACAACAGCUAUCUAAUGACUGAUGUCAGUUAGCAGCACACAGAACAGUGGGAAGCAGAGUAAAGUCUCCUGCUGACAAUUUAAGAACCUAUUUAGAUCCUAAUUUAUGCCUGUUAGAUAAAGCUUUUUCAACGCAUAACAUCUGCAUACUACCUAGAUCUCACUCACUCCAACUGUAGUCACCCAACUGUAGGAGUGUUAGAAUGUUAAAUUUCAGUGGGAAGAGAAACGGAGUUUCAUUUUUAAAGC